Molecule: ribosomal RNA, 492 nt
Filed under: uncultured bacterium
Lineage: Bacteria
Description: partial 16S ribosomal RNA
Rfam family: Bacterial small subunit ribosomal RNA
Source: RNAcentral
AGUGAACGCUGGCGGUAGGCCUAACACAUGCAAGUCGAACGGCAGCACAGUAAGAGCUUGCUCUUACGGGUGGCGAGUGGCGGACGGGUGAGGAAUACAUCGGAAUCUACUUUUUCGUGGGGGAUAACGUAGGUAAACUUACGCUAAUACCGCAUACGACCUACGGGUGAAAGCAGUGGAUCUUCGGACCUUUCGCGAUUGAAUGAGCCGAUGUCGGAUUAGCUAGUUGGCGGGGUAAAGUCCCACCAAGGCGACGAUCCUUAGCUGGUCUGACAGGAUGAUCAGACACACUGGAACUGAGACAAGGUCCAGACUCCUACGGGAGGAAGCAGUGGGGAAUAUUGGACAAUGGGCGAAAGCAUGAUCCAGCAAUACCGCGUGGGUGAAGAAGGCCUUCGGGUUGUAAAGCCCUUUUGUUGGGAAAGAAAAGCAGCAGGUUAAUACCCCGCUGUUCUGACGGUACCCAAAGAAUAAGCACCGGCUAACUUCGUG